RNAcentral lists this non-coding RNA (66 nucleotides) under unclassified sequences. RNAcentral describes it as "RAGATH-18 RNA". It matches the Rfam family "RAGATH-18 RNA". From Rfam's summary of the family: Actinobacteria, Firmicutes, Fusobacteria, Thermotogae (1 example). The record is from Rfam by way of RNAcentral.
CCUUUGGACUGUUAUAUCAAACCAUAGUAGUUAGCAAUAACGAGGUGGGACAGGUUGAAGAAGGAA